CUUUCAAUGAUUUCUUUUUCACUCGAGGAGCUGUUGUUUGUGAGGAGUGUAAAUUUAGUUUUACUCAUACAGUAGCCGCGAUUCCAGCCGAGGAGCGACAAAGGUGGAGCUAAUAUGGUUCAGAGUCCUCUUAACGACUAUCUUGUUUUGGAAGAAAGAAGAAAUGGAAGAGAUGCUUUGAAAGUGAGGCAGCUGACAAGACAGACUUCAGUAAGAAUCCUCAGCGUUGAUCAAGAAAGUUCACAGCUCACCUCAUCUAGAGUGGGAAUCAUCUUGGAAGAAAGCUUGGUAAUGGAUGAACUGACCAAUCUCAGGCCUUCUAUGUCCAUUGUUUUCAGACUGAUUUCCCUGCCUACACCUGGACUAUCCUAAGUGUAUGAAAAGUAUUUUAUAUUUUUUGUCGGGAAAAGGUGAGCUGACACCUAAAAUUCAGUAU
Molecule: long non-coding RNA, 436 nt
Organism: Labeo rohita (rohu)
Lineage: Eukaryota; Metazoa; Chordata; Actinopteri; Cypriniformes; Cyprinidae
Exons: 3
Source: RefSeq, a predicted model, not a curated record